Monodelphis domestica (gray short-tailed opossum) is the source of this 905-nucleotide non-coding RNA. Lineage: Eukaryota; Metazoa; Chordata; Mammalia; Didelphimorphia; Didelphidae. The record is from RefSeq and is a predicted model, not a curated record.
GGACAAAUCUGAGAGCAUCGGAGGGCUGAGAAGUCAUCCAGUACACAAUACUGCAAUAGGCCACUGGAAACAUGAUCUGGCAGAGAAAGGGCAUGAAUUAUUCAAACGGAGCAGCUCUAUGUAUAAGAAGGAUCUAAUAAGAACAGGAUCAACUGCAAAAUGUUGACUUCUUCUUGAAAAAAAGUAUCAUUUCCCAAAGAGGAUUAUGGUCUCCUGAUUCUUUAUUUUAAGAGUCAUCUCGAUAAGAUUAGGGCAAAACUAGCCUAUCAAAAGCACCAUCAAUUUAAAGCGUUAGUCAAUAGAAAUGUCAAUAGGUCUAGAAGAAGCCGUAGUAACACUAUUCUUAAAACUGUGAUUUGAAGGAUUCUGAGAAGUAUCACUACCCAGUGAUAAAAGGUGCCAAAAUUCCAUUCAUGAAACACUUCUUAUGGUUAAAUCAAGCGUGGCACUCAUCAUUCAUGUGUUACUUUUAUAAACCACAAAUACUCCAGUUUAUGAAAAGGAUUAUUCCCCAGAACAUAAUGUUUUCCAAUAACAACUCCUGGAUUUGGUGAAAAUUUAGAUGAAAGCCACAUUUCCCCAACAGGCAUGUUGCUUCUUUCAUCUCCCAUAUAUAAAAGGAAAAUGUUUCUGCAGUCAUUACUUACACGUGAGGACGGUAGGCAUUAGUGCAGCAAACAUGAGAAACAACAUGGAAAAGAAGAGGAAACCAGAGUUGCUCAAGACUUUCUUUGCUUCAUUCCCAAUUCCUAAAUAUAGCAAGCCUAUAAGAAGUCCAAUUCCAAUAUGUGAUGUGAUCCUUAAAUGUGUUAAUACCUAAGGGAAAACACAUUUUACUCAAGUUAUUUUUGCUUAAUUUUGUAUUUAAUUAAUUGUACAAUAAAAAACAAAUAGGCAACAAUGAA